This 801-nucleotide ribosomal RNA is filed under the name uncultured Lentibacter sp. RNAcentral describes it as "bacterial SSU rRNA". It matches the Rfam family "Bacterial small subunit ribosomal RNA", at positions 23 to 872 of the family's 1533-position model. Lineage: Bacteria; Pseudomonadati; Pseudomonadota; Alphaproteobacteria; Rhodobacterales; Roseobacteraceae. The record is from RNAcentral.
CUCAGAACGAACGCUGGCGGCAGGCCUAACACAUGCAAGUCGAGCGCUACCUUCGGGUGGAGCGGCGGACGGGUUAGUAACGCGUGGGAACGUACCCAGAUCUAAGGAAUAGCCACUGGAAACGGUGAGUAAUACCUUAUACGCCCUUCGGGGGAAAGAUUUAUCGGAUUUGGAUCGGCCCGCGUUAGAUUAGAUAGUUGGUGGGGUAAUGGCCUACCAAGUCUACGAUCUAUAGCUGGUUUUAGAGGAUGAUCAGCAACACUGGGACUGAGACACGGCCCAGACUCCUACGGGAGGCAGCAGUGGGGAAUCUUGGACAAUGGGCGCAAGCCUGAUCCAGCCAUGCCGCGUGAGUGAUGAAGGCCUUAGGGUCGUAAAGCUCUUUCGCCAGAGAUGAUAAUGACAGUAUCUGGUAAAGAAACCCCGGCUAACUCCGUGCCAGCAGCCGCGGUAAUACGGAGGGGGUUAGCGUUGUUCGGAAUUACUGGGCGUAAAGCGUACGUAGGCGGAUUAGUCAGUCAGAGGUGAAAUCCCAGGGCUCAACCCUGGAACUGCCUUUGAUACUGCUAGUCUUGAGUUCGAGAGAGGUGAGUGGAAUUCCAAGUGUAGAGGUGAAAUUCGUAGAUAUUUGGAGGAACACCAGUGGCGAAGGCGGCUCACUGGCUCGAUACUGACGCUGAGGUACGAAAGUGUGGGGAGCAAACAGGAUUAGAUACCCUGGUAGUCCACACCGUAAACGAUGAAUGCCAGUCGUCGGGCAGUAUACUGUUCGGUGACACACCUAACGGAUUAAGCAUCCGC